RNAcentral lists this ribosomal RNA (485 nucleotides) under uncultured Leptospirillum sp. RNAcentral describes it as "bacterial SSU rRNA". It matches the Rfam family "Bacterial small subunit ribosomal RNA", at positions 65 to 526 of the family's 1533-position model. The record is from RNAcentral. Lineage: Bacteria; Pseudomonadati; Nitrospirota; Nitrospiria; Nitrospirales; Nitrospiraceae.
CACGUGAAGGGGAGCAAUCCCCCGGUAGGGUGGCAAACGGGUGAGUAAUACAUGGGUGAUCUACCUUAGGGAUGAGGAUAUCCUUCCGAAAGGAGGGGCAAUACCGAAUAUUGUCCGGAGCCGUGAAGGGUUCCGGGGAAAGGGAGGCCUCUGAUACAAGCUUUNGCCUUAAGAUGAGCCCAUGGCCCAUCAGCUAGUUGGUAGGGUAAAGGCCUACCAAGGCUACGACGGGUCGCUGGUCUGAGAGGACGACCAGCCACACUGGCACUGAGAUACGGGCCAGACUCCUACGGGAGGCAGCAGUGAGGAAUAUUGCGCAAUGGGGGAAACCCUGACGCAGCAACGCCGCGUGUGGGAAGAAGGCCUUCGGGUCGUAAACCACUUUUGGCACGGGACGAAAAAGGGAUAUCGAACAAAUAUCCCCGAUGACGGUACCGUGAGAAUAAGCCACGGCUAACUCUAUGCCAGCCCGCCGCCGGUAAUUC